RNAcentral lists this ribosomal RNA (323 nucleotides) under Kraken sp. RNAcentral's name for it is "SSU rRNA". The stretch from base 110 to 323 matches the Rfam family "Eukaryotic small subunit ribosomal RNA", at positions 741 to 955 of the family's 1831-position model. Lineage: Eukaryota; Cercozoa. The record is from RNAcentral.
GAUUUCUGGUAUAGUGCGCUUGGCCCGCCACGGUUACGUGCGUGAGUGCCGGUGCGUGUCUGCCAUCCUUCUGGUAAACGUGUCUACCCUUCACUGGGCCGGAUACGCGAACCAGAUCAUUUACUUUGAAAAAAUUAGAGUGUUUAAAGCAGGCUUUUUGCUAUGAAUACAUUAGCAUGGAAUAAUAAUUUAGGACUUUGGCCCUAUUUUGUUGGUUUCUAGGACUGAAGUAAUGAUUGAUAGGGAUAGUUGGGGGUGCUCGAAUUCAGCGGCCAGAGGUGAAAUUCUUGGAUUCGCUGAAGACGAACUCAUGCGAAAGCAUU